RNAcentral lists this non-coding RNA (20 nucleotides) under Arabidopsis thaliana (thale cress). The record is from RNAcentral. Lineage: Eukaryota; Viridiplantae; Streptophyta; Magnoliopsida; Brassicales; Brassicaceae.
UUGAUGAGCAGGUGCAACCA